Molecule: long non-coding RNA, 345 nt
Organism: Daphnia carinata
Lineage: Eukaryota; Metazoa; Arthropoda; Branchiopoda; Diplostraca; Daphniidae
Exons: 3
Source: RefSeq, a predicted model, not a curated record
GCCAUUCGCAGUUAGUUGAGUAGCGUGGAUGGAGAAUAACGUGUGGCUGGAGAAAAAUAUGUUAAAAUGGAUAAGAUAAUAAAAGAUAAGGAUGCUCUAAUUAUGAACCUGCAGGCUCAAUUAUUGUUCGUAAUCAGUCCAUGCAGCGAUGGAACUGAACAAUUGUGGGACCGUACUUGGGCUGAAAAUGGGUGUGGUAUGGAAACCCAGAAAUGGCACGAGUUCAACAUAAAACAUGAAUUAGAAUUUUAGCGGGGGAUCAAGUCAAGUCUGGAAGUGUUACAGGAUGGAAGAGUGAGCCUACAGUUGAAAAACACUGAAAGUGCAUUACCAUUAAGAUAUGAG